GACGCAGUAGGAUAGGCGAAGCGUGCUGUUGGAGUGCACGUCCAAGCAGUGAGAUUGAGUGUUAGGCAAAUCCGGCACUCUUAAGAUUGAGCUGUGAUGGGGAGAGGAACUUGUUCCUCGAGUCGUUGAUUUCACACUGCCGAGAAAAGCCUCUAGCUAGAAUAACGGUGCCCGUACCGCAAACCGACACAGGUAGUCAAGAUGAGAAUUCUAAGGUGAGCGAGCGAACUCUCGUUAAGGAACUCGGCAAAAUGACCCCGUAACUUCGGGAGAAGGGGUGCUCUUUGAGGUUCACGCUUCGAAGAGCCGCAGUGAAUAGGCCCAAGCGACUGUUUAUCAAAAACACAGGUCUCUGCUAAACCGUAAGGUGACGUAUAGGGGCUGACGCCUGCCCGGUGCUGGAAGGUUAAGAGGAGUGGUUAGCGCAAGCGAAGCUACGAAUCGAAGCCCCAGUAAACGGCGGCCGUAACUAUAACGGUCCUAAGGUAGCGAAAUUCCUUGUCGGGUAAGUUCCGACCCGCACGAAAGGCGUAACGAUUUGGGCACUGUCUCAACGAGAGACUCGGUGAAAUCAUAGUACCGGUGAAGAUGCCGGUUACCCGCGACAGGACGGAAAGACCCCGUGGAGCUUUACUGUAGCCUGAUAUUGAAAUUCGGUACAGUUUGUACAGGAUAGGUAGGAGCCUUAGAAGCGUGAGCGCUAGCUUACGUGGAGGCAUUGGUGGGAUACUACCCUAAUUGUAUUGGAUUUCUAACCCGCAGCACUUAUCGUGCUGGGAGACAGUGUCAGGCGGGCAGUUUGACUGGGGCGGUCGCCUCCUAAAGAGUAACGGAGGCGCUCAAAGGUUCCCUCAGAAUGGUUGGAAAUCAUUCAUAGAGUGUAAAGGCAUAAGGGAGCUUGACUGCGAGACCUACAAGUCGAGCAGGGUCGAAAGACGGACUUAGUGAUCCGGUGGUUCCGCAUGGAAGGGCCAUCGCUCAACGGAUAAAAGCUACCCCGGGGAUAACAGGCUUAUCUCCCCCAAGAGUUCACAUCGACGGGGAGGUUUGGCACCUCGAUGUCGGCU
Molecule: ribosomal RNA, 1067 nt
Filed under: Staphylococcus pseudintermedius
Lineage: Bacteria; Bacillati; Bacillota; Bacilli; Caryophanales; Staphylococcaceae
Description: partial 23S ribosomal RNA
Rfam family: Bacterial large subunit ribosomal RNA
Source: RNAcentral